UACGUAGGGGGCGAGCGUUGUCCGGAAUUAUUGGGCGUAAAGAGCGUGUAGGCGGCCAGGUAGGUCUGGUGUGAAAACUCGAGGCUUAACCUCGAGAUGUCAUCGGAAACCAUCUGGCUAGAGUCCGGAAGAGGAGAGUGGAAUUCCUGGUGUAGCGGUGAAAUGCGCAGAUAUCAGGAAGAACACCAAUGGCGAAAGCAGCUCUCUGGGACGGUACUGACGCUGAGACGCGAAAGCGUGGGGAGCGAACAGG
RNAcentral lists this ribosomal RNA (253 nucleotides) under uncultured bacterium. RNAcentral's name for it is "partial 16S ribosomal RNA". It matches the Rfam family "Bacterial small subunit ribosomal RNA", at positions 524 to 776 of the family's 1533-position model. The record is from RNAcentral.